UCCUUGGAAAGAAUUUCCUUGCAUAUAGAGAUAUUCCAAAAGUAAACAAGACCCAAUGCUUGUAGGAAUUUCUCCAUAAAGCAUGUUUUCUGAGACAUCCAGUGUAUUUAUAUUUGUUAGCUUUCCCACGUCUUCUGGCAGGUAGCCGGAUAACGAAUUCUGAGAUAAGUUUAAGUAUAAAGACAAGGAAGGAAGAUGGAGAACCUCCAAUAUAGAUCCACUGAAAUUAUUUCCUGAGAUAUCCAAAUACUGCAAAUUCUGACAAUUUUUUAUGCUUUUUGGAAUAUUUCCCUCCAGAUUGUUUCCUUGGAUCUCAAGUAGAGACAAUUGAGUGAGAUUGCCUAUAG
RNAcentral lists this unclassified non-coding RNA (347 nucleotides) under Hevea brasiliensis (rubber tree). The record is from RNAcentral. Lineage: Eukaryota; Viridiplantae; Streptophyta; Magnoliopsida; Malpighiales; Euphorbiaceae.